UACGGAGGGGGCUAGCGUUGUUCGGAAUCACUGGGCGUAAAGCGCACGGACGCGGAUCAGAAAGUCAGAGGUGAAAUCCCAGGGCUCAACCUUGGAACUGCCUUUGAAACUCCUGGCCUUGAGGUCGAGAGAGGUGAGUGGAAUUCCGAGUGUAAAGGUGAAAUUCGUAUAUAUUCGGAGGAACACCAGUGGCGAAGGCGUUUCACUGGUUCGAUACUGACGCUGAGGUGCGAAAGCGGGGGGAGCAAACAGGAUUAGAUACCCUGGUACUCCACGCCGUAAACGAUGAAUGCCAGUCGUCGGCAGACAUGCCUGUCGGUGACACACCUAACGGAUUAAGCAUUCCGCCUGGGGAGUACGGUCGCAAGAUUAAAACUCAAAGGAAUUGACGCGGCCCCGCACAAGCGGUGGAGCAUGUGGUUUAAUUCGAAACAACGCGCAGAACCUUACCCCCCCUUGACAUCGGGAUCGCGGUUACCGGAGACGGUUUCCUCAGUUCGGGUGGAUUCCAGUCAGGUGCUGCAUGGCUGUCGUCAGCUCGUGUCGGGAGAUUUUUGGUUAAGUCCGGCAACGAGCGCAACCCACACUUUCAGUUGCCAUCAUUCAGCUGGGCACUAUGGAAGAACUGCCGAUGAUAAGUCGGAGGAAGGUGUGGAUGACGUCAAGUCCUCAUGGCCCUUACGGGUUGGUAUACCCACGUGGUACAAUGGUGGUGGCAAUGGGCCAAUUCCAAAAAGCCAUCUCAGUUCGGAUUGGGGUCUGCAACUCGACUCCAUGAAGUCGGAAUCGCUAGUAAUCGCGUAACAGCACGACGCGGUGAAUACGUUCACCGGGUC
This 836-nucleotide ribosomal RNA is filed under the name uncultured bacterium. RNAcentral's name for it is "SSU rRNA". It matches the Rfam family "Bacterial small subunit ribosomal RNA", at positions 524 to 1381 of the family's 1533-position model. The record is from RNAcentral.